RNAcentral lists this unclassified non-coding RNA (504 nucleotides) under Hevea brasiliensis (rubber tree). Lineage: Eukaryota; Viridiplantae; Streptophyta; Magnoliopsida; Malpighiales; Euphorbiaceae. The record is from RNAcentral.
ACCCCACCGGCCCUGAAAAACUCCAAAUGGCUCGCAAAAGUUAUGGCCGUGGCCGACGAAGAAGACUCGAUCUCUCACCGCCUCUCUUGAGAUUUUUAUUGAACAGUUUGUCGGCGAAACCUUUAAAAACCCAUUUUACCCCGCAUUUCUCACCGUCCAAGCCUUACCUUGUAUCGCCUUGUUUUCUCUCUCGAAACCGGAAUUAGUACCCAUCGAUCCUUGUACCUUAACAAAUGAACCCAGAAGACCAAAAAUCCUCAAAAUCGCCCCUUAAGCCUUCCCAUUCAUCUUCCACAACGGAGCCGGAGACGACGCCGUCCUUGUUACAGCCAUUGAUGGGUUCUCAACUGUUCCCUCCUGGGUCUUUGAGUAUGGAGGAUAUGAGCUACUCUGGGUCUCCUUUAUCUGCGUCACUCCCUUCUCCUUUAGUGGAGUUUGGAGCAUUCUCUGCUAUAGAACAAUCAGUUUAUUCUCCUUCAGAGAUGUGUGAAUUCGGAGCAAAUC